This 818-nucleotide ribosomal RNA is filed under the name uncultured Actinomycetes bacterium. RNAcentral describes it as "bacterial SSU rRNA". It matches the Rfam family "Bacterial small subunit ribosomal RNA", at positions 84 to 914 of the family's 1533-position model. The record is from RNAcentral. Lineage: Bacteria; Bacillati; Actinomycetota; Actinomycetes.
CCUUUGGCCUAGUGGCGAACGGCGGAGUAAUACAUAAGCAACGUGCCCCGACGACCGGGAUAGCCCCUCGAAAGAGGGAUUAAUACCGGAUGUGGCCCUUGGAGGACAUCCUUCGAGGAUUAAAACGAGUAAUCGGCAUCGGGAGCGGCUUGUGGCCUAUCAGCUUGUUGGUGGGGUAAUGGCCUACCAAGGCUACGACGGGUAGCUGGUCUGAGAGGACGACCAGCCCGACUGGGACUGAGACACGGCCCAGACUCCUACGGGAGGCAGCAGUUGGGAAUCUUGCACAAUGGGCGAAAGCCUGAUGCAGCGACGCCGCGUGGAGGACGAAGUCUCUCGGGAUGUAAACUCCUUUUGCCAGGAAAGAUAAUGACGGUACCUGGUGAAUAAGCCCCGGCUAACUACGUGCCAGCAGCCGCGGUAAGACGUAGGGGGCGAGCGUUGUCCGGAUUUACUGGGCGUAAAGAGCGCGUAGGCGGUCUGUUAAGUCAGAAGUGAAAUCUCCAGGGCUCAACUCGGAAACUGCUUUUGAUACUGUCAGACUGGAGUGUCGGAGAGGUAAUUGGAAUUCCUGGUGUAGCGGUGACAUGCAUUGAUAUCAGGAGGAACACCCAUGGCGAAGGCAGAUUACUGGCCGACAACUGACGCUGAGGCGCGAAAGCGUGGGUAGCAAACAGAAUUAGAUACUCUGGUAGUCCACGCCCUAAACGAUGGAUACUAGACGUCGGGGGGUAUCGACCCCCCCGGUGUCGCAGCUAAUGCAAUAAGUAUCCCGCCUGGGGACUACGGCCGCAAGGUUGAAACUCAAAUGAAUUGAC